This 252-nucleotide ribosomal RNA is filed under the name uncultured bacterium. RNAcentral's name for it is "partial 16S ribosomal RNA". It matches the Rfam family "Bacterial small subunit ribosomal RNA", at positions 524 to 776 of the family's 1533-position model. The record is from RNAcentral.
UACGGAGGAUGCGAGCGUUAUCCGGAUUUAUUGGGUUUAAAGGGUGCGUAGGCGGGAUGCCAAGUCAGCGGUAAAAUUGCGGGGCUCAACCCCGUCGAGCCGUUGAAACUGUCAGACUUGAGUUGGCGAGAAGUACGCGGAAUGCGCGGUGUAGCGGUGAAAUGCAUAGAUAUCGCGCAGAACUCCGAUUGCGAAGGCAGCGUACCGGCGCCACACUGACGCUGAGGCACGAAAGCGUGGGGAUCGAACAGG